CAGGGAGACAACAAAAUGUUUAAUAUUAUUAUUUUGUCACCUUAGGUCGAUCGGUAUCUCACGUUUUUAAUUUAUUAAGAAUUUCAUUUCCUAAGUUUUUCUAGGUCACACCCAUUAUUUUUCCUGGGCCAUUAGCUCAGGUGGUUAGAGCGCACCCCUGAUAAGGGUGAGGUCCCUGGUUCAAGUCCAGGAUGGCCCAUAUCUCUAUGUUGGGGGUAUAGCUCAGUUGGUAGAGCGCCUGCUUUGCAAGCAGGAUGUCAGCGGUUCGAGUCCGCUUACCUCCACUGAUUACCACCUCUUCCAUAAUUUAUAGAAGGGAAAUUUUUGAGUUGUGAUCAUUAUUCUGAACGAAUCUAGCUUCCUAAUGCAAAUCAUUAAGAUGCUGGACUCAUUGAAUUAAUUUCAUUGUUUUCAGAGAACCUUGACAACUGCAUAGAUUAUUUUUAAAGACAAUAAGCAUCUUUAAUGAUGCAGAUUUAUUAUUUGUGCGAAUGCAUUAAUAACAAUUCUAUUAAGCUGAUGCUUCAAUUUUUGAAGUUAUU
RNAcentral lists this transfer RNA (542 nucleotides) under uncultured cyanobacterium. RNAcentral describes it as "partial contains 16S ribosomal RNA, 16S-23S ribosomal RNA intergenic spacer, and 23S ribosomal RNA". The stretch from base 212 to 284 matches the Rfam family "tRNA". Lineage: Bacteria; Bacillati; Cyanobacteriota. The record is from RNAcentral.